UACGAAGGGGGCUAGCGUUGCUCGGAAUCACUGGGCGUAAAGGGUGCGUAGGCGGGUCUUUAAGUCAGGGGUGAAAUCCUGGAGCUCAACUCCAGAACUGCCUUUGAUACUGAAGAUCUUGAGUCCGGGAGAGGUGAGUGGAACUGCGAGUGUAGAGGUGAAAUUCGUAGAUAUUCGCAAGAACACCAGUGGCGAAGGCGGCUCACUGGCCCGAUACUGACGCUGAUGCACGAAAGCGUGGGGAGCAAACAGG
This 253-nucleotide ribosomal RNA is filed under the name uncultured bacterium. Its description in RNAcentral is "partial 16S ribosomal RNA". It matches the Rfam family "Bacterial small subunit ribosomal RNA", at positions 524 to 776 of the family's 1533-position model. The record is from RNAcentral.